Molecule: long non-coding RNA, 1037 nt
Organism: Daphnia carinata
Lineage: Eukaryota; Metazoa; Arthropoda; Branchiopoda; Diplostraca; Daphniidae
Exons: 6
Source: RefSeq, a predicted model, not a curated record
AUCCAAAUAACUUUUUGAGCGUUUCGCGCUUUGCAUUGCAAUUCUGCAUUGUCAGCAGUAGAAGGAAACAAAGUGCUAACACGAGGCAUAUUUUCUGCAAAAGAAAAAAUGAGCCCUGAAAAUGUGUUUGGCAACGGCAAUAGCAGUGCAACAAGUGCGAAAGAACACGGAAGACUAACAUCACUCAGCUUCGCACCUUGUUCUUGAACCUUUGGUUUGUCCCUUGGUGCCUCCUCUUCCCAACUUUCUCCGGGUAACAAUAAUAUAAAGUAUUCUGGAAGACUAAACCCUGUCCUUCGUACAGCUAUCCUGUUUCGGUCGAGCUCAUAAGACGAACUUUCGUCUUUGAAAAUCUAUUCCCUAUAGGUCUAUCCCUAUCCUAUAGUUUUAUUCAAAAAUGUGUUGCAGACCAAUCCCAGUUGGCAAAUUCAGCUGUUGCUGUAUUUAGUGGUUUUACAACCGGAAGAGGGAGAUCAUUUAAAGGAGUCAUCGGCGGCUCUUGGUUUUCCCAUACCUCUUGUGCCGUUAUUCGGGAUUUGGGACAAUAACGUAGAAAACGUUCCAGCAUAAUCCUUGAUGAUUCGUCUACUUCAGUUAGGAUUUCUUUGAAGGAGAUUUGCUUUUGGGUGUUUGUAAACGAAAUCUUGUGAAAAUCAGGAAGCGAUGACACACCUGGCCAAAUUUCCUCAUCUGGAGUACCUAGUACUUUGGCCAAUGUCAUUUUCCCCCUAGAGCAUUGUAUGAGAGAAAGAAUUCAACAGCUGUUAAUCACUUUUAUUAAGGACUGCUAUCUUACCGGGAAAAGUGGAGAAUUCUUGAGCAUUUCACCAAAGAUACAACCCAUGGCCCAGAGAUCUACUUCCGGACCUGCCGUGCAACAGCGUACUACUAGUUAUUAAGUAAAAAUGCACUAUCAUCACAAAGGAAACUUGCCAUAAGUUCUAGAACCAUAAAGCAAUUCGGGUGCUCUGUACCAACGGGAAGCGACCUGAUGAGUGAACAGUUUUUGAUCCUUUUCGUUAUUAGUGCUACCAACC